RNAcentral lists this ribosomal RNA (465 nucleotides) under uncultured bacterium. RNAcentral's name for it is "bacterial SSU rRNA". It matches the Rfam family "Bacterial small subunit ribosomal RNA", at positions 338 to 795 of the family's 1533-position model. The record is from RNAcentral.
CCUACGGGUGGCACCAGUAGGGAAUCUUCGGCAAUGGACGAAAGUCUGACCGAGCAACGCCGCGUGAGUGAAGAAGGUUUUCGGAUCGUAAAACUCUGUUGUUAGAGAAGAACAAGGACGUUAGUAACUGAACGUCCCCUGACGGUAUCUAACCAGAAAGCCACGGCUAACUACGUGCCAGCAGCCGCGGUAAUACGUAGGUGGCAAGCGUUGUCCGGAUUUAUUGGGCGUAAAGCGAGCGCAGGCGGUUUCUUAAGUCUGAUGUGAAAGCCCCCGGCUCAACCGGGGAGGGUCAUUGGAAACUGGGAGACUUGAGUACAGAUGAGGAGAGUGGAAUUCCAUGUGUAGCGGUGAAAUGCGUAGAUAUAUGGAGGAACACCAGUGGCGAAGGCGGCUCUCUGGUAUGUAAAUGACGCUGAGUCUCGAAAGCGUGGGGAGCAAACAGGAUUAGAUACCCCAGUACUC